UGUUCUCUGUGGUGUACGCGUACGGGCUGGUUAAUCCUUGAGCCUAUAAGCGAUAUACUUUGGGACUAAUCUGUCGGCGAUGUUGCGCAGGGCCGCACUUUAGCGGCAAGCCUGAUUCUCCACGAGACGUCCCACCUUGAACCCUUGGUUCAAGUUUACGGCCAGUCGCGGCAUUGUGGAGAACAC
RNAcentral lists this non-coding RNA (186 nucleotides) under Pseudomonadota bacterium. RNAcentral's name for it is "Proteobacteria bacterium 6S RNA". It matches the Rfam family "6S / SsrS RNA". Rfam says of the family: E. coli 6S RNA was the first non coding RNA to be sequenced, but its function was unknown until recently. It consists of 184 nucleotides that fold into an extended hairpin structure with a large single-stranded internal bulge. Lineage: Bacteria; Pseudomonadati; Pseudomonadota. The record is from RNAcentral.